GUCCACGGCCGUACCACCCUGAACGCGCCCGAUCUCGUCUGAUCUCGGAAGCUAAGCAGGGUCGGGCCUGGUUAGUAUUCGGAUGGGAGAAAGAUGGUCUUUGAGAGGCAAAGGCUGUGAGGUCU
Felis catus (domestic cat) is the source of this 125-nucleotide non-coding RNA. The record is from Rfam. NCBI's taxonomy places the organism in Eukaryota, Metazoa, Chordata, Mammalia, Carnivora, Felidae.